AUCAAAACAACUAGCCCAUAAAAAAAUCAAUCAAUAACCAUCAAUACCCAAAAAUAACCUAUUUACUAAAAACUAAACCAUUUUUUUACCUUAGUAUGGGAGACAGAAAAGGAAAAGUGAGCAAUAGAAAAAGUACCGCAAGGGAAUGCUGAAAGAAUAAUGAAAAAUUUAUAAGGAUAAAAAAAGCAGAGACUAAUCCUCGUACCUUUUGCAUCAUGAUUUAGCAAGCAAUAUUCAAGCAAAGAGCACUUUAGUUUGAAAUCCCGAAACCUAGUGAGCUACUCCAAGACAGCCUAGAAUAUAGGGCAAACCCGUCUCUGUAGCAAAAGAGUGGGAAGAGCUUUGAGUAGAGAUGAAAAGUCUACCGAACAGGGUGAUAGCUGGUUGCCUGUAAAAUGAAUAGAAGUUCAGCCUUUUAUAUUCUUAAUUUAUAAACAUAAUAAAACACCAUAAUAUUAAGAUAAUUAUUAGAGUUAGUCAAAAGAGGAACAGCCCUUUUGACUAAGAAAACAAUCUUACAAGGAGGUUAAGGAUCAAAAUAUUAAAGGUAUUUACUUGGGUGGGCUUAGAAGCAGCCAACCCUAAAGAAAGCGUCAUAGCUCGCAUACAUAGAAUUAAGCCCUUUAUACCAAUAUAAAUAUCCCAAUCCCCUAAAACUUAACAGGCCUUUCCAUAUAAUUAUGGAAGUGAUAAUGCUAAAAUGAGUAACAAGAGACCUUAACAUCUCUCUCUAUACAUAAGUGUAAAUUAGAACGAACCCACACUAAACAUUAACGGCCCCAAGCUAAAGAGGGUAAUGUGCCAAAAAUAACCAACCAGAAAUAUACACAAAAUUUUACCGUUAAUCCUACACUGGUGUGUUAAAUGGGAAAGACUAAAAGAGAAAGAAGGAACUCGGCAAAUAUUGUAGCCUCGCCUGUUUACCAAAAACAUCGCCUCUUGCAAAUUUAAGAAUAAGAGGUCACGCCUGCCCGGUGACAUACAAGUUUAACGGCCGCGGUAUCCUAACCGUGCAAAGGUAGCGCAAUCACUUGUCUUUUAAAUGAAGACCAGUAUGAACGGCACAACGAGGGCUACACUGUCUCCUUUCUCUAGUCAGUGAAAUUGAUCUCCCCGUGCAGAAGCGGGGAUAUACAUAUAAGACGAGAAGACCCUGUGGAGCUUUAGAUGUAAAAGUAGACUAAAUUAAUUUAAUACUAACAACAGAAACAAACAAAUUAGAUACUACUUAGAUAUCUUUGGUUGGGGCGACCCUGGGGAAAAAAAGAACCCCCAUGUGGACUGGGAUACUUUCCUAAAAGCUAGAACCCUUAUUCUAACUAACAGAAAUUCUGACCUUAUGAUCCGGCAAAGCCGAUUAACAGACCAAGUUACCCCAGGGAUAACAGCGCAAUCCUCUUUUAGAGUCCCUAUCGACAAGAGGGUUUACGACCUCGAUGUUGGAUCAGGACAUCCUAAUGGUGCAGCCGCUAUUAAGGGUUCGUUUGUUCAACGAUUAAUAGUCCUACGUGAUCUGAGUUCAGACCGAAGCAAUUCAGGUCAGUUUCUAUCUAUAAAAUGAUUUUUUCUAGUACGAAAGGACCGAAAAGAAGGGGUCCAUGCUAAUAGUACACCCCACCCAUAACUGUUGAAAGAAACUUAAAUGGAUAAGUGGGCAUAAUACUCUGUCAAAAAAAAUGACAU
This 1683-nucleotide ribosomal RNA is filed under the name Draconetta xenica. RNAcentral describes it as "16S rRNA". It matches the Rfam family "Bacterial large subunit ribosomal RNA". The record is from RNAcentral. Lineage: Eukaryota; Metazoa; Chordata; Actinopteri; Syngnathiformes; Draconettidae.